GUGUUGUAUAAAAGGAGAGAAGAUUAGCACUGCCCCUGACAAGAAUGGCAGAGCCUCUCAGGCCUGACAAUAUUCAUGUGGUUAAGGCAUUACCACCUACUUCAUGACCUCUAACCACUGUUUUUG
Small nuclear RNA from Balaenoptera musculus (blue whale), 126 nucleotides. NCBI's taxonomy places the organism in Eukaryota, Metazoa, Chordata, Mammalia, Artiodactyla, Balaenopteridae. The record is from Ensembl.